This is a long non-coding RNA of Taeniopygia guttata (zebra finch), 2250 nucleotides long. Lineage: Eukaryota; Metazoa; Chordata; Aves; Passeriformes; Estrildidae. The record is from Ensembl.
CUAUUUUUCAGCCUCAUGUUUCACCCCAAGCAGCUGGUAGACCUAUUGCUCCUCCUGCUCCUACUCCUGCUCCUGCUCCAGCUCCAGCUCCUGCUCCAGCUCCAGCUCCUGCUCCUGAUGGUAAGUCUGUUUUUCAAGCAAUUAUAGUCUAUUGGAUGGGGGUUCCUAGGCAGCAUCUCCCUCCAUGCUGCACAGCUUCUGUAGGCAAAUACAAUACUCGAUUUUAAACGUAAUGGAGCAAAUAAACUAGUGCAAACAGAAAUGUUGUGAUACUUUUUUCAGAAGAGAAAGGGGAUGGUGAGUACUGUAAUUUUUUUUUCUAUUGGUCCCUAAUUGCUUGGAUAUUUUUGAUUUUAUUUGAUUUUAUUUUAGAUUUGCUUGCUUGGUUGGUUGAAUUUUUUGGUUUUGGGGAGUGGUGGGGGUGGGUGGGUUUUUGUUUUUAAUUUUUUUCUUUUAUUUCUUCUUUCUGUUUAUAUUUUUAACUGAAAACUUCUUCCUUUCAUUAUGUUAUAAACCAUUAACUUUUUUUAAAGGUUUUUUCUUUCAACCAUAACCAUUUCAGUUCUUUGCAUUUCCUUUUUUUUUUUUUUUUUAUUUACCUUCAUUGACGUAAAUUUACUUUCUGUGAACAGGUACUUUUCAGCCUCUUUUUUCACUCCGAGCAGCUGGUAAACCCACUGCUCCUCCUUUUCCUGCUGAUGAUUCCUUUCAACGUCGCAUUGAACCCCAAGAAGCUGCUACACCUCGUACUCCAGGUCCUGAUGACUCUUUCUGGCUGCCUGUUUCAUCCCAAGCAGCGCGUGCACCUCCUGCACCUGCUCAUGCUCGUGAUGAAUCUUUCUGGGGUCGAAUUGGACACCAACUAGCCGGAACACCUCCUGCACAUGCUGGUGACAGUGAUGACUCUUUUGGACCUCGCUUUGUGCCCAAAGGAGCUGCUGCACCUCCUGCUCCUGUUGAUAUUUUUCGGAUUAGUGUUGCACCCAAAGCGCCCCGUACACCUGCUACUCCUGUUCCUGCUCCUGCUGAUAUUUUUCAGCCUUAUGUUUCACCACAAGCAGCUGGUAGACCUACUGCCCCUGCAGUUGCUCCUGCUCCUGUUGCUAUUUUGCAGCCCCAUGUUUCACCCCAAGCAGCCAGUGCACCUCCUGCUCCUACUCCUGCUUCUGAUGAAUCUUUUCAGCUUCUCCUUAUACCCCAAGGACCUAGUACACCUCGUAGUCCAGCUCCUGAUGAAUCCUUCCAGCUACUCUUUGUACAACAAGGAACGAGUACACAAUGUAGUCUUGCUCCUGAUGCAAGCUGGGGAGAGCCUAGACACAGAACGUACAUUGAUUCCAGAACUGACACAACCUCCAGUGUGGCACCCUACAGGGGCUCUACUCUGCCUGGAAUUCACACAAUCUCCAGGGUGUCACCCCAGAGAACCUAUACUGUGUCUGGCAGUGAUGUGCCCUCCAGUGUGACACCCUACAGGACCUAUACUGUGUCUGAGAGUGAUAUGCCCUCCAGUGUGACACCCUACAGGACCUAUACUGUGUCUAAGAGUGAUGUGCCCUCCAGUGUGACACCCUACAUAACCCACACUGUGUCUGGAAGCGACGUAUCCUCUGAAUCUUUUCGGCUUCCCUUUGUACCUCAAGGAACCAGUACACCUCGUGGUCCUGCUCCUGUUGCAAGCUGGGGAGAGCUGGGACACAGAACCUACAUUGAUUCCAGAACCAACACAAGCUCCAGUGUGACACCCUACAGAACCUCUACUGUGUCUGGAACUGACACCAGCUCCAGUGUGACACCCUACAGAACCUCUACUGUGUCUGGAACAGACACAGCCUCCAGUGUGUCACCCUACAGGACCUAUACUUUGUCUGGAAUUGGCACAACAUCCAGUGUGAUGCCCCGAGGAACCUAUACUGUUUCUGGCAGUGAUGUGCCCUCCAGUGUGUCCCCUUACAGGACCUAUACUGUGUCUGAGAGUGAUGUGCCCUCCAGUGUGACACCCUACAGGACCUAUACUGUGUCUGGCAGUGAUAUGCCCUCCAGUGUGACACCCUACAGGACCUAUACUGUGUCUAAGAGUGAUGUACCCUCAAGUGUGACACCCUACAUAACCCACACUGUGUCUGGAAGCGACGUAUCCUCCGAAUCUUUUCGGCUUCCCUUUGUACCUCAAGGAACCAGUACACCUCGUGGUCCUGCUCCUGUUGGUAAGUCUGCUUUUGAAGCAAUUGCACUCACUUGGAUGUGGGU